GGAUUGUAGUCUGCAACCCGACUACAUGAAGCUGGAAUCGCUAGUAAUCGCGAAUCAGCAUGUCGCGGUGAAUACGUUCCCGGGUCUUGUACACACCGCCCGUCACACCAUGGGAGUCGGAAAUGCCCGAAGUCUGUGACCCAACCUUAGGGAGGGAGCAGCCGAAGGCAGGUCGGAUGACUGGGGUGAAGUCGUAACAAGGUACC
Molecule: ribosomal RNA, 206 nt
Filed under: uncultured bacterium
Lineage: Bacteria
Description: partial 16S ribosomal RNA
Rfam family: Bacterial small subunit ribosomal RNA
Source: RNAcentral